Pseudoliparis swirei is the source of this 1754-nucleotide long non-coding RNA. RefSeq lists it as uncharacterized. The transcript has 4 exons. The record is from RefSeq and is a predicted model, not a curated record. NCBI's taxonomy places the organism in Eukaryota, Metazoa, Chordata, Actinopteri, Perciformes, Liparidae.
CGCAUCCCAUGGUAUCCUCCGGGCGAGCUCCCACGGCGCGGGUCGGCACGGCGGCGUCCGGGGGCUGAUCCGACUCCGAGGUACAGAGCCCGAGGGCCUGCUGCAGUCACCAUGCUACAGCUCACCUAUUGACAUCUGGGCCGUGGGACGCAUCAUGGAUCUACACUCAGGCCCCUGUUGCCUGGCAAAAGUGAGGUGGACCAGAUCUGAAAGAUCUGAAAGUGGUUGGGAACACUGAAGAAUGUGAGCCACCACAACAAGGCGUAUCGUGUUGUGGUUCUACUGUCAUUGUGGAAUGUAACCAGCCAGUAUCUUUUAAAUCAUUCUGACGUCCUCUCUGCUCGGGCCGUUACCAUUAUGUGGCGCUAACAUGAACAAAUUUAUCAAAUUUUCUUUUUGUCGUUGUGUUUUAGUGACUCGUUGCUUUCUCUUUGUGUUUCACCACAUCAGUCUGACGGGCCCAGGGGCAACAACCUGGCCACAUCGAUGAACUUCCCAGAGCGCCUCCCCGCCAGCCUCAGAUCUCUGAUCCCCAACGUCAGCAACGAGGCAAUCGCACUGAUGGAAACAAUGUGAAAGUGCUGCUCGGGCUCUACAGUAUCCAUACUUCACUGUAUCCAUACUUCACUGUCGGCUAGGCGGAGGUGGAAACAAAGGGUCGGUCCCUCCGUGAGACGGACCUAGAAUCCAUGAAGCCAAACACAAAACCAGCAAUGUGUCCCGGCAUGCUGACCGAGGGGCAGCAGGAACCUCUCGGCUGUGGCUAGAACUCAGGUAGAGCUACCACAUUCCACAAUGAGACCUUUUUGGGACUUCAUGAUUUUCUUCUUUGUAUGUGCAAGACCAAGAGGACAGGACUUAGUCGAUGGGGACAGACGUCUUUCAGGUCUGUCGAUGGUGAGAACGCUAACGCUGGAGUCUACGUUUCCAAUAAAAACACCAUCAGCUCUGUGGAAGGAAAUUUAAAAAGUGGCCUAAACCCAGUGAAAGAAGAUAAAAGACCAACAGACAAGAAUCAUAAUCAGAUCUGGACAAACUGUUUGGGUAUGAGUCGUUUUGUCAGACAUACACCCAGAAGGCAUCUGUUCCUUAGGAGGCAGAGACAUCCACAGAAGUCCUGGGCUUUCCUCUAAGUGAUGGGAGAAAGAUUUGAGUACACACUUGAUCACUUUAAUGUGUCGUGCUGAAACAACAAGAAUCAGCACACGGAGCACAAGACAUGCAGCUUGCCUUUGCUUUCCAAGACACACAAGACCCCUUCUCGCUCAUGAUCAUUUCCCAGAAUACAAAGGGUGGGGGGGGGGGGCAGCAGACCUCUGAAUCCCAGCGCUACAGGGAAAACACUUUUCCAAGGAGCCCAAUCAUCGACCCUGUAACCGGACGAGUAGACUUAACUGCCAAAUACGAAGGUCACAAGUAGCACAGCAGUGACUCAUGGGAAAAGUUCCAACUGUGAAGUGCUUCCUGCUAGUCUGUUGUUACAUUUGCCAAGCUAUGAAAUAUUGUUCAGUGAUUUAAAAUGUCCCAUAACUUCUAGUCAGUAUUUUUGGGUGAAUUUAUUGUUUAACAGCAGCUGAUACAUUUACACAGAAAACAACUUUUUGGGGGACUAUUUCUUCAUAUAAAAAAAUACAGAACCAGACUAAAGCAGAAAGCCACAUCAAGUCAAACCUCUUCCAUAAUACCAUGAGCGUUUGCAGGACAACUACCUUUAGAUGUUGUCGCCGCAGCUGCAGGUUCCUCAGCGGUCUGCU